This 460-nucleotide ribosomal RNA is filed under the name uncultured bacterium. Its description in RNAcentral is "partial 16S ribosomal RNA". It matches the Rfam family "Bacterial small subunit ribosomal RNA", at positions 338 to 795 of the family's 1533-position model. The record is from RNAcentral.
CCUACGGGUGGCAGCAGUGAGGAAUAUUGGUCAAUGUCCGGAAGGCUGAACCAGCCAUGCCGCGUGAAGGUCAGUGCCGUAUGGGAGUUAAACUUCUUUUGUGCGGGAGCAAUAAUGGUCACGUGUGGCCAGACGAGGGUACCGUACGACUAAGCAUCGGCUAAAUCCGUGCCAGCAGCCGCUGUAAUACGGGGGAUGCAAGCGUUAUCCUGAUUUAUUGGGUUUAAAGGGUGCGUAGGAUGUGAAGUAAGUCAGAGGUGAAAUGCCCCCGCUCAACGGGGUGAAGUGCCAUUGAUACUGCCUGGCUGGAAGGCGGAUGCGGUGUGAGGAAUGUGUGGUGUAGCGGUGAAAUGCAUAGAUAUCACACAGAACACCGAUUGCGAAGGCAUCUCACGAAUCCGCGAUUGACGCUGAUGCACGAAAGCGUGGGUAUCAAACAGGAUUAGAUACCCCUGUAGUC